RNAcentral lists this ribosomal RNA (254 nucleotides) under uncultured bacterium. RNAcentral describes it as "partial 16S ribosomal RNA". It matches the Rfam family "Bacterial small subunit ribosomal RNA", at positions 524 to 776 of the family's 1533-position model. The record is from RNAcentral.
UACGUAGGGUGCGAGCGUUGCCCGGAUUUAUUGGGCGUAAAGGGCGCGUAGGCGGUCACGCACGUCCGUUGUGAAAUCGCUCGGCUCAACUGGGCGGGGUCAGCGGAUACGGCGUGGCUGGAGCAAGCUAGGGGGCAAUGGAAUUCCCGGUGUAGUGGUGGAAUGCGUAGAUAUCAAGAGGAACACCUGAGGUGAAGACGGGUUGCUGGGCCGACACUGACGCUGAGUGCGCGAAAGCCAGGGGAGCAAACGGG